GGUCGGUUGGCAGAGUGGUUGAAUGCGUCGGUCUCGAAAACCGGUAAGGGUGCAAGCCCUUCGAGAGUUCGAAUCUCUCACCGACCGCCA
Molecule: transfer RNA, 90 nt
Filed under: Sneathiella sp.
Lineage: Bacteria; Pseudomonadati; Pseudomonadota; Alphaproteobacteria; Sneathiellales; Sneathiellaceae
Description: tRNA-Ser
Rfam family: tRNA
About the family: Transfer RNA (tRNA) molecules are approximately 80 nucleotides in length. Their secondary structure includes four short double-helical elements and three loops (D, anti-codon, and T loops). Further hydrogen bonds mediate the characteristic L-shaped molecular structure. tRNAs have two regions of fundamental functional importance: the anti-codon, which is responsible for specific mRNA codon recognition, and the 3' end, to which the tRNAs corresponding amino acid is attached (by aminoacyl-tRNA synthetases). tRNAs cope with the degeneracy of the genetic code in two manners: having more than one tRNA (with a specific anti-codon) for a particular amino acid; and 'wobble' base-pairing, i.e. permitting non-standard base-pairing at the 3rd anti-codon position.
Source: RNAcentral